AGAGUUUGAUCCUGGCUCAGGAUGAACGCUAGCUACAGGCUUAACACAUGCAAGUCGAGGGGCAGCAUGGUCUUAGCUUGCUAAGGCCGAUGGCGACCGGCGCACGGGUGAGUAACGCGUAUCCAACCUGCCUUACACUCUUGGACAGCUUUCUGAAAGGGAGAUUAAUACAAGAUGUUAUCAUGAGUAAGCAUUUUCGCAUGAUUAAAGGUUUACCGGUGUAAGAUGGGGAUGCGUUCCAUUAGAUAGUAGGCGGGGUAACGGCCCACCUAGUCUUCGAUGGAUAGGGGUUCUGAGAGGAAGGUCCCCCACAUUGAAACUGAGACACGGUCCAAACUCCUACGGGAGGCAGCAGUGAGGAAUAUUGGUCAAUGGACGAGAGUCUGAACCAGCCAAGUAGCGUGAAGGAUGAAGGUUCUAUGGAUUGUAAACUUCUUUUAUACGGGAAUAAACGGAUCCACGUGUGGAUUUUUGCAUGUACCGUAUGAAUAAGGAUCGGCUAACUCCGUGCCAGCAGCCGCGGUAAUACGGAGGAUCCGAGCGUUAUCCGGAUUUAUUGGGUUUAAAGGGAGCGUAGAUGGGUUGUUAAGUCAGUUGUGAAAGUUUGCGGCUCAACCGUAAAAUUGCAAUUGAUACUGGCAGUCUUGAGUACAGUUGAGGUAGGCGGAAUUCGUGGUGUAGCGGUGAAAUGCUUAGAUAUCACGAAGAACUCCGAUUGCGAAGGCAGCUUACUAACCUGUAACUGACAUUGAUGCUCGAAAGUGUGGGUAUCAAACAGGAUUAGAUACCCUGGUAGUCCACACGGUAAACGAUGAAUACUCGCUGUAGGCGAUAUACAGUCUGCGGCCAAGCGAAAGCAUUAAGUAUUCCACCUGGGGAGUACGCCGGCAACGGUGAAACUCAAAGGAAUUGACGGGGGCCCGCACAAGCGGAGGAACAUGUGGUUUAAUUCGAUGAUACGCGAGGAACCUUACCCGGGCUUGAAUUGCAGAGGAAGGAUUUGGAGACAAUGACGCCCUUCGGGGCCUCUGUGAAGGUGCUGCAUGGUUGUCGUCAGCUCGUGCCGUGAGGUGUCGGCUUAAGUGCCAUAACGAGCGCAACCCCUCUCCUUAGUUGCCAUCAGGUCAUGCUGGGCACUCUGGGGACACUGCCACCGUAAGGUGUGAGGAAGGUGGGGAUGACGUCAAAUCAGCACGGCCCUUACGUCCGGGGCUACACACGUGUUACAAUGGCAGGUACAGAGAGACGGUCCCUUGCAAAAGGGAUCAAAUCCUCAAAGCCUGUCCCAGUUCGGACUGGGGUCUGCAACCCGACCCCACGAAGCUGGAUUCGCUAGUAAUCGCGCAUCAGCCAUGGCGCGGUGAAUACGUUCCCGGGCCUUGUACACACCGCCCGUCAAGCCAUGAAAGCCGGGGGCGCCUAAAGUCCGUGACCGUAAGGAGCGGCCUAGGGCGAAACUGGUAAUUGGGGCUAAGUCGUAACAAGGUA
RNAcentral lists this ribosomal RNA (1488 nucleotides) under metagenome. RNAcentral's name for it is "bacterial SSU rRNA". It matches the Rfam family "Bacterial small subunit ribosomal RNA". The record is from RNAcentral.